GAUGAAGAACGUAGCGAAAUGCGAUAAGUAAUGUGAAUUGCAGAAUUCAGUGAAUCAUCGAAUCUUUGAACGCACUUUGCGCCCGCCAGUAUUCUGGCGAGCAUGCCUGUUCGAGCGUCAUUUCAACCAUCAAGCCCCAGGCUUGUGUUGGAGCCCUGCGGCUGCCGCAGCCUCCCAAAACCAGUGGCGGGCUCGCUAUCACACCGAGUGCAGUAGUUUACUCUUCGCUCAGGGCGUGUGGCGGGUGCUAGCCGUGAAACCCCCAACUUCUCAAGGUUGACCUCGGAUCAGGUAGGAAUACCCGCUGAACUUAAGCAUAUCAAUAAGCGGAGGA
Molecule: unclassified non-coding RNA, 334 nt
Filed under: soil metagenome
Description: partial contains 5.8S ribosomal RNA, internal transcribed spacer 2, and large subunit ribosomal RNA
Rfam family: 5.8S ribosomal RNA (bases 1-120)
Source: RNAcentral